UAUAUAUAUAUAUAUGGAUGCUACUAGCUAUAUAUAUAUAGCUAGGUAUAUAUCCAUAUCCAGUGAGUAGACUGGGAAGUAAUUCAGUAUCAUUUGGCUAUCCAAAGCACCAUCGCAGGGGAUAGUCAAACUUCAAAACGUCACACCACCGAUACACUAUGGGUUUUAAAUGGACCGAAAUUAUGUAGUUUUGGUAUGAUGGGUUUAACCGCGGAUUAAUGUCAACCCAAAAUUUUACGAGACACUUUUUCGCGUAUGGAUCGUCUGCUGGAAAAUUGAGACUGAGGUGAUGAGUGGGGCAGCCAGUUUCGUUUGGGACCCGAGGUCAACCGAAUUUGGCCGACGAGGCUGACCGCCCUCCGUCUCCGGAUUUACAUCCUAACCAAAUGAUUUAAAUCAUAAAUGUUUUUUUGCCUGAUAAAUUACCCUCAAUUUCCUCUCUGCAUGGAGAUUUCUAUUUUUUUUUUACUUCUAUUCACGCCCGUGUUUUGUUUCGCAUCCGUCGAUUUCUGCGAUUUCUCGUGCCUUUUAAAAAACUGAAAACAAUACAGGGAGAUGAUUUUAACGGCACGAAAAAGUCGCUCGAUCGAUUUCAGUUGUCGAUUGACAUUGAUGAGGACACGACGAAUUAUUACGAGCUCUUUACUUUAUCAUUAUCGUUUUGUUGCAGUGGUUGAACAAUUAAUAUGUAUCAGUAAAGGUUUGACAAUGCCGUCAUGUAAUAGGUGUGUGUACAGUGGGUGUAAUAAUUCUUCAAGUGACAAGGAUGUGAUGUUCCAUCGGGUGCGAUAAGUAAUGAAAACCAUUUCAAUCACCAUUCUUCAAGAAAAAUCGUGCAUGGAGUCAUAAUUUGUUGGAAUCAGUCGGGAGGGUUUCGCGGUGAAUUUCGUGGUGGGUUUCGAGGUGACUUUUGUGGAGGGUUUCGCGAUGAAUUUCGCGGUAAAUUUCGCGAUGGGUUUGGCGGUGAAUUUUGUGGUGGGUUUUGCGGAGAGUUUCGUACUGGAUUUCGUGAAAGGUUUUGCGGAAGAUUUAAAAAAAAAAACUAAUGGAAAAACUAUAAAUUAUUUUUUUAAAGUUGCGAAGACAUUUUUCAUUUGGCUUUUGACAGAAAAUAUGGAUUUUAAGCCCCACAUUCUUAUAUAAUAUUAUGGAUGUCGGUGUAAUUAUUUUCUCAUUUCGGAAGGGUGGAUCGACCGGAUGGGGAAUGAGCAACUUCGCGGUUUAUCUCUGACCCAAUUACGUGACCGUCGCAUUUGUUCGGAUUAUUUCCAGGACUCGGACUACAUCACUGUAGGGGUGGCUGGUAAGAGACGAUUAAAAAACGGCGCAACACCUAUUGCGUUAAUUAACAGACUAAAAAUCACAAUCCGAGCUCUAUCCAACGUUCCUCUCAAUGAGCGUAAUCAGGAUGACCUCGUGACGAGGCUACAUAACCUCUAAGGCAGUGCCUCGCAAACUGUGUGCCGCGGCACACUGGUGUGCCGCGGGAGACUGUCAACCGUGCCGCAAAAGAUUUUCUAAGUUGCACUAGAUAUUCUGAGAUUAAUCUAAAAACCGAUUUCUGAUAACUAGAAAAUUACCCAAAAAGUAGUCAAUUAAUUUUAACUAAAUUAGCCACAACGCAGGUACUCGUAUUUGCCCUCCCAAACUUUGUCGAAACAACAAGAUGCACAAGCGAGGGUGAAUUGCUUAGAGAGGCACUGGCGUGGAUUUUCCCCCACUCAACGUACCACUUGACAACGCUUCAUUUUGCUCCGUGGCGUGACUUUUCAAUUCCCCUCAAAAUUUCUCAUUGUGUUUUUCGUUUUACGAAUAUUGUUGCGUUUGCUAAAUUGUGUUCUGAUUUUUUAUUUUUACCACGUGUUUGUGUUUGAUUUUCUUUAUUAUCAAGACCCAAUAUGGACAAAUACGUUAUCAAAACAAAGAGUUCUGAAAGUCCGGACUCUGACAAAACUACAAAAAACGCAAAGGUCACAUCUUCAACAGUUUCAGCAAAGCGGAAAUACAAUGAUGAAUACAUAGAGUUUGCUUUCAUUCCGUCCAAAGAAGAUAAUUCUUUGCCCGUUUGCAUGUUGUGUUCUACAACUCUUUCCAAUGAAGCGAUGGUUCCGAGUAAACUUAGACGACAUUUUGAAAAAAAACAUCCAUUGUACAUAAACAAGGAGAAAUCUUAUUUCGAGAACCUUCGUUCACAAUUAUACAACCAAGCCAAACGAUUCAAAAAUUUAUGUACGGUACCAGAAAAAGCUCAAAUCGCAAGCUAUGAAAUUGCCCAACUAUUAGCAAAAAAGAAAAAGCCUCAUGCUGAUGCUGAAAAUAUCAUUUUGCCUUCGUUGGAGAUAGCUGUUAAAGCCAUGAUUGGAACACAAGCUGUUGAACGUGUAAAAGUAAUACCGUUAUCAGGUGAUACAAUUGCGCGUAGAAUUCAAAGUAUGUCCGAUGAUAUUGAACUACAACUCAAAGAGCAUUUUGCGAAUAAUCAAGACAAAAUGUCGAAUUUAUGGGCUCUUCAAGUCGACGAAUCUACCGAUAUUAGUAAUAAAGCUCAACUAUUAGCAUUCCUCCGUAUUAUUAAAGACGGAUCGAUUCAAAAUCAGUUUUUCUUUUGUUCGGAGCUGAAGCAAACUACCACAGGACAGGACGUUUUCGAACUGGUAAAUACAAAUAUUGAAUCAAGAGGAAUUAAAUGGGAAAACUGUAUCAGUGUCUGUACCGAUGGCGCACCUUCAAUGCAAGGCCGCAAAAAAGGAUUCGUCGCUCAUGUGUUGAAAAUUAAUCCGAAUGUGAAAAUUGUGCAUUGUAUGAUUCAUCGAGAGGUUUGGUAACCAAAUCCCUUCCAGAAAAACUUUGCCAAACAUUGAAGGAAGUCAUUAAGAUCGUCAACUAUAUUAAGUCAAACGCACUCCGAACAAGAAUUUUUGCAUCAUUAUGUGAAGCAAUGGAUUCCGAUCAUAAAGGUUUGUUGUAUCAUACUGAAGUGAGGUGGCUCUCGAAAGGAAAAGUUCUCGAACGAGUGAUACUUUUGCGAGCAGAAAUUGUUUCAUUUUUCGAGACAGACAAUACUGAUAAAGUCGAUUUUCUGCAUGACGAUAUUGGUGGCUUGAAGUUUCGUUCCUGAAUGACAUUUUUGAAAAAUUGAAUAAACUGAAUAUGAGCAUCCAAGGAGCCAAGGAAAACAUCAUUAGCAUUACCGGAAAACUCAAGGCUUUUGAAGAAAAACUGAAACUGUGGUUGCAAAAAUCUAAAAAUUUGCAAUUUGACUUUCUUCCAACUGUCAAUACAUCAACAAUUAAACAUAAAAUAUCAAAAGAAAUUCAAACUACAUUUGAAAAUCUGUCCUCUUCAUUCGUCAAAUAUUUUCCAUCUCUGAAUUCGAAAAAAGACGAAUGGGUGGUCAACCCCUUUGUAGGUUGCACGGACAGCUCAUUCUCAAUAAAAGAAGAAGAGGAUUUUAUCGACCUGAAAAAUGAUUUGGUGCACAAAGCUUCUUUCGCAGAACUCGAGUUAUCAACGUUUUGGAUCUCUCUUCAAAAUCAAUAUCCAGAAUUGAGCAUGAAAGCUCUUCGAAGUUUGUUACCAUUUGGCUCCUCUUAUCUCUGCGAAAUUGCAUUUUCUUCAUUGACUGAAAUUAAAUCUAAAAAACGUGAGCGACUUCAGAUGAUUGAUGGAGAGAUGCGAGUGUGUUUGACUAACUUCGAACCACGAAUAAUGCAAAUUUGUUCCCAGAAACAAGCCCAUCCAUCACAUUAAGCUUAAAAUAAAAAUAUUUUCCUUUCUAUUGUACCAAAUAUUAAUUAAUGUACCUAUUUGUAAAACAAAUUUUUUAAAUUAUUUUUAAAUAUACGUUUUCUUCCGAAAAUUUAUUUAGCUUAGUGUGCCGCGGAAAAAAAAUCCUCAGUUAGCGUGCCGCAGACUAAAAAAGUUUGCGAGACACUGCUCUAAGGUGAUUCUCAACCCCCCCCCCUUCGCCUCCUAUAUUACCAUUACUUUUAUCUACCUCGCACUCACCGUUGGAGAACCCCCUUCUGUACAAGUCCUUCCCCUCCCCCUACUCGCCGCGCUCGGACAGCGCGACAACCAUCGGAAGAAUCACCACUGGAGGAUAAGAUGACGUAGUGAUCCCCCUCCUUCUCGCAGUCCCCUACUCCCGCCGCUUCGUCUUCAUCGAAGGAGUGGAUACGUAGGUCGUCCCCCCCGCCGCAGUCCGCUUCUCACCGCUCGGAUGCGGACAAUGGCCGCACACGCAUGGUGCGUAGUGUUUAUCCCUCUCCCCCUCGGCCACCGAAGAUACCCAUAACCAUCAAUCGGCGGAUCACAGGGAUGCGGGCGUUACGUCACCGGAAAGGGACGAAUCUAGGCCGAGGACUCCCGAAUACUUCGAGGAGAUCCUCAAGUGGCCUGUCGAUCGCCACUCGUCGCUAAGCUGUCACCAUAAUCAGUGCGUCAUUUAAUAAUUAAUAUUCCAAUCGAUCGGAAGAUAGUGUAUAACAAAGUGGCCCAGGAUCUCCAGAGUUCCAAGAGAGUCUCUUCUGGACCCGAGUCGACCUUGUUGGACCCCAGGAAAAGGGUGGACAUCCCUAAAAACCCAGAGAGGAGAGGAAAACCCCAGAAUCUUGGAAAAGUGUCACCAGUCGGGCUGAACGAUGUCAACGAGGUCGAAACUGUUGUUGGAGUUAGAAAGACGGAAGAGGCAAAACAAGGCAAACAGGAAGACAGUUAGAGGAAGAAAUAAGCGGGGGCAGUCGAGGAAGGCAGAAUGCUGAGAAGAUGGAGUCAAACAGGGUUGCUGCAAUGAGGGCUGAGCUGCAAUUGUUGAGGGAGCAAUUGAAAGGACAACAGUCAGGACAGCCAGAUGAAGAAAAGGAGCCAGAUGGCGAAAGCGACGAAGAGGGGAGGAACAGCAGCAGGGAGAGCGAGGAGGUCAAAAAAAAAGGGGAGGAAAGCGUCAAGCCGAACGGGACGCAAUCUACUGGAAGACGGAAUUCAAAAAACUCCAACGGACCAUGGAGGAAUCCAUCACUGCAGGAAACCUAAGAGGGGGAGGAGCAAUUCAUCGAGGAGGGAGACAUGUCUCAAUGAGGCACCUCAUAGGCAGAGGACAAGUACCAAGUGGCAGUGGAGGAAGAGGGCAAUUCCACUCACAAGGAUGGGCAUCUGGUUUAUGUAAGGGAACUGAUUGAGGGGGACUGGCGGUGGCGAGAGGUGAGGGGUGAGGAAAUUAAGCCGGAUGAAGACACAAUGAGUCACACGCGUAUCGACUAAAUGAGUCCUUUUGUUUAUAAAAAUAUCGUCUGAUAUCGAUUACAAUUAAUAAUGAGCGGUCACUGAGUUUAAACUACAAAACUUAUAAGAGAAUUCGCGAUUUGAGGAAAUCGAGAUCUGAACACACGUUUGGGGUUCGAUGAAAAAUAAUGAGAACACGAUGUGGCACUUGUUGUCGAAACGGAGUCCAAACGGUGAGAGAGUGAUUUGAGGAGAGGUCACGGUCAAGAAGGAUCUGGAUCGUUGACACGUGACCCUUCUGAGUGGUCAAAGGGCGUGUUUGUGGGGUCGAUCUCUCCGGAACGUGGCGUCUCAAUUAGGCAAAAAUGCUAAUUGACCCCCUGGCAACAGCAGGUUGUUUUGGCCAGGGGUCGAGCGGUCGAAGGUUUGGCGAGCGCGGGGAAAAGGAAGACUUGGGAUUAGCCGGAUUUACAACACUAUUAAAGAAUAUAUUAAAUAAGGAUUAAGAAACAUCUAAUGUAAGAAAAAAAGACUGGUCAUUUAAUAAAUAACGAACAUGAUUAAAACGAGAGGACUAUCAAUUUUUUCAACAUAACGAUAGAAAAAGACUACAUAAAACCUGAAAAAAAAGAAGAAAUUACAUAAACCUGAAAAAUCUCAUAAACCUGAAAAGAAUAAAAAUAAUAACCCUGAAAAAAAAAGAAAUUACAUGAACCUGAAAAAAUAUCGUAAACCUGAAAAGAUUAAAAAUAAUAAACCUGAAAAAAAACCG
RNA transcript from Diachasmimorpha longicaudata, 5995 nucleotides. RefSeq lists it as uncharacterized. NCBI's taxonomy places the organism in Eukaryota, Metazoa, Arthropoda, Insecta, Hymenoptera, Braconidae. The transcript is spliced from 5 exons. The record is from RefSeq and is a predicted model, not a curated record.